Molecule: long non-coding RNA, 202 nt
Filed under: Elaeis guineensis (African oil palm)
Lineage: Eukaryota; Viridiplantae; Streptophyta; Magnoliopsida; Arecales; Arecaceae
Description: long non-coding RNA (EGUI_LNC025515)
Source: RNAcentral
AUGUUGUAGUUUUUGCUUCUAUUGAUGUCUCCAGUUGCAUCUCGGACUCAACUUUGGUUGUCAUAGAAUUCUUUGACCAUGUUUGGUUAGAAGAAUCUUUAAUUACUUUGAAAAGUCUAAGAGCCUGAGGCCUGGCCUAGAAGCCCGAUAAGUAGGAGGUUUAGAUCUAGCAAGUAGGCCCAAAAGCCGGAACAGAUUCAGG